UUGUCCAUAGGCUUUGACAAGAAAAUGCCUUAUCUGUGCCACACCAGAGUGGUUUUUAGGGCUGUUAAACACUGACACGUUUUGCUUCUCUUCUCUUGGUGUCAGAGUGGGACCUGAGUCUUUUGAAAAUGAGGGUUAUGGGAACAGAAGAGGGAGAUACCUGUGUCUCUGGGGCCAGUGAGUUUUGUGAGAACUGGGCACACUCAGUGUCUCACAUGACUGCACCCAACAGUGUUUAACACACAACAGCAGGGGUCUGUUGGGAACUGACCUGGAGCCUGCUGUUUCUGAGCUGUGUUAGAGGUUCUAACUGUUAGCUUCUGAUUCUCUACCUCACCUUUCAGUGUCUGUUUCACCAUCCAAACCACAGCUCCCUGCUGGAAGGGAGCUCUUUGUGAGGAUUUGGACUUGGGGAUUACAAGUGGAGCAGGCUGCUGAAGGGGGAUGAAUGCCAGGUCAGCAGUGCACCCUGUCCUCCACGGGGCACACAGCAGACACUCCGUACAUCUCUAUGCAUGCAGAGGGCUGAUGUGAGCCCCACACACCUUCAGGCAGGUGAAUUUGGCCAUUCUGACUGUUUGUGUGGGCUCCAAGAGACCUCACAUAUGAGCAGACUCACAGAAGAGCCUGUAACAGAAUGAAUGUCAUUGCACAUUACAAGAAGAGAAUUUAUUCAGUAACAGCCAUGUUUGGGAUAAAGAAAUAAUAGUGCCCAAAUAGAAGACUGCUUAAGAGCAUGUAGUCAGUGUCUGGGAUUAUACAACUCCGAUCAUCCAGUGGCAGACAGAAGGGAGUUGAACACAAGCGGAUAAAUGCUCUUAUUGCAACAGAGAGUCAUCUUUACCAAUAAUUUUCUUCACUGUGGUGGCAGGAUUUCCUCAAUUGAGUCAGUGUUAUUCAGUGAGUUGAGGAUGACAGGCCCAGGGCAGGGGUUUGAAACAAUAAUUGCCGUUUGUUCUUCUGUAGUACCUUUCAUCUGUGGAAUUCACAACAAUGCAGUAAUCCUCCAACAGCUUCUGUGGGUAAGGAAAUAUUAUGAUUCCUGUUUUUCAGCUGAGGAAGCCGAGAGGGAAUACGAUGAUGCAGAGAACCACAGGCAGAGCCAGAACUGGGACCUGGCUCCUCUGACUCGUACUCUGUAGGUUGGAGAGCCUGGACACAACAGCUGGUGAGGCCACUCUUCUGUCAGUGACUCUGUCAGUGCCUGCGGGACCUUUGUCUCUUCAUGCCUUAUUACUCACCACUGCAAAUGUAAGCACCAGCUUGUCUGCAGCAGUCAGGUCUAGAGAGCGGGUCCAGCAUGUGCUGAAGUUAGUGGGAGCUUUUCCACGAACAUGGAUGUCCUCUGGAUCCUAUCCACAGGGCUGGGUCCUGACUGCAUCGUGUCCUGUGUGGCGCUGGGCUGCUGUUCGGAAAACAGCAAUGCUCUCCAGCACAGGGCUCCAACACAUCCUUACCAUUAACGCCUGCUUGGCCUGACUGAAUCAAACACUUCUCUGAGUCAGGGCCCGUGUACACCAGUGCAGUGCCUUACAUACACGCUCACCCAGGCAAAUACGGUGCUAAUGGCUCACACAUCAGCCUCGUGCAGUACUUGUGUUGCUGCUUUA
Molecule: long non-coding RNA, 1610 nt
Organism: Pezoporus occidentalis (night parrot)
Lineage: Eukaryota; Metazoa; Chordata; Aves; Psittaciformes; Psittacidae
Exons: 3
Source: RefSeq, a predicted model, not a curated record